UACGGAGGGUGCAAGCGUUAUCCGGAUUCACUGGGGUUAAAGGGUGCGUAGGUGGGCGAGUAAGUCAGUGGUGAAAUCUCCGGGCUUAACCCGGAAACUGCCAUUGAUACUAUUCGUCUUGAAUGUUGUGGAGGUAAGCGGAAUAUGUCAUGUAGCGGUGAAAUGCUUAGAUAUGACAUAGAACACCGAUAGCGUAGGCAGCUUACUACACAAAUAUUGACACUGAGGCACGAAAGCGUGGGGAUCAAACAGG
RNAcentral lists this ribosomal RNA (253 nucleotides) under uncultured bacterium. Its description in RNAcentral is "partial 16S ribosomal RNA". It matches the Rfam family "Bacterial small subunit ribosomal RNA", at positions 524 to 776 of the family's 1533-position model. The record is from RNAcentral.